CAUGCUAACACAUGUGUUGAAUUUGAAUGAAACGAAAGUCGUUCAUGCGCGUUUACAGGUCUACAGAACAUACUACAACAGUGGCGGCGGCGGCGGCAUCAGCGGACAUCGGGCGCCCAGUUCGCAGCUAAUUUGGCUGAGUAAUUAACGCUAUCCAGUUAGCGUGAGUUGAAACUUCGGAGCGGUGUAUGAUAUCUAAUGCGCGUCAGGUGCACGAUAUGCACAAUCAUCUGAACGUUACCCAAGCACAAGAUAUCAUCUGAAUUUUGCUUGUAGAAGAAGCUCAAUGGGUUGAUUGAAUUGCGAAUUUUUUUGUGUAGGAAAUUACAUAAUUUACACCACUUACGAAUUCAUCUACAUCGGUAUACGCUCGAAUCAAUUUUUCUACCACAUGAAACUGAUUGCGCAUUUAUUUACUGCUACCCUAUUCGUUGCGUCGACCCGCUUUUCCUAAAACAAAUAACACAGGUUCGUUUGUCCGUUUUAGGUACUUAGUCAAAUCCUGCUAAUCUUUACAAUGGCUACACUAGCUUACGCGGAGUCCUAACCAGGCGACAACGACGCGAGGCGAUGACCUGCUCUAUGGAAUCGGUGGUGGCAUUGGUGUCUACUGGUUCGCCGCAGCCAUGUGAAUCGCGAAACGAGAGAGAAUUAUAGCUAUGGUAAAUAAGAAAUGAUCGUCGUAUUGCGAAACGUGAACACAUUACUGAAAACCUUUAAUCCAAGCGCUAGGUACGCUUAAGGAAACACUCAAAGAAAUAAGGAGAUGUACAGUAGAUGCUUACAUAUAAUAUUAGCAUUGUGGAUUUCACGGUACGCAUUCGUCACUAAAUAGACUCUUGAGGGGUUCCGGAAAAGUGGACAGAGUGCCCUUCUACAGAAUCAUAUGAAGCGUGUAAGGUAUCCUCAGCUCAAUAAACUUAUGGAUUCUCUAGAUGGUAAUGCAUAGUUGCACUAGACCAGUUGGGCAACAAGAAACAAAACAUACCUUCAGUCAAGACAUUAAUUACGUUCCUUAAGUUGUCCUUUGAAAACCUGAUCGUUUAAUGACGCUAAUUGAUUCACUAUCAAUUAAUAUGUAUAAUACUGCGUUGACAAUAACUAAUUAUAAUACUAUAGUAUAUAAUAUAUUGGGGUGACCUUUGAGUUAAUCGUUUAUCGUAACAGUUAUUGAUUUAAAAAAAACACCACGGUAAUUCUAAUCUUGUAAUUCUAAAGAAUUACAGCAGAAAGAAGUGCAGGCAAAAAAUCCGGUUCCUGAGAUAAAUUUUUUUCAGAUUUUGUCAAAAUUUACAUGUUAUCAUUGUUGUUAUUGUGCUCAAUUUGAGAGCUGCAUACCAUUGUGAAAGCGAAUCACCGCUACACAAUUGGUUUCUGUUUAAAAAAUUAAAUCUCGACUUAUCAUGUUAUAUACCAGGAUAUAUUUCUAAGGGUAAUAUAAACCUAAACACAGCGGAUCAGUUGCUGGUCCUUUGCAAUAAUCGUAGUUUGCACGCCGACCGAACGAUCGUCAGUAAAUCGCUUAUAGCGUUCAUAUAAAUAACGUCUUUACGUGAAAAUAGCCCAAGCAUCAAAGCAAAUCGUCUUAUAUCAACAAAGAUAUUCUCGCAUUGUUUAACAACGACUAUAUUCCCUUCAUAUUACAUUGACUCAUGUUGCCCAUAAGUAGCCGUCUUCAGAGUAAUUGAAAACAAAAUUAAAAAAAAUGCAUGCCGGAUGUUUAAUAAUAUUGAAUAGCAUUGAAGCUGCCCUUAUU
This 1756-nucleotide long non-coding RNA is filed under the name Varroa destructor (honeybee mite). RNAcentral's name for it is "uncharacterized LOC111248487". The record is from RNAcentral. Lineage: Eukaryota; Metazoa; Arthropoda; Arachnida; Mesostigmata; Varroidae.